ACUAGCCAUCUGGGAGACUCUGGAAUCAUGAAGAGGCCCAGAAGCAGAACGGCACAUGGUAUAAGUCCUGCAAGCACAUGAUUGUUGAACAGCUGGAGAAUUUGGCCUUUUUUUUGCAGCAGUUGUUCUGGUGGCCUGAUGCCUUUUAUAGUAUCAUUUGCAUGUGAUACUUUUUGUGCUGAUGUAUCACACAUCUGUCAUUCGGAUCCGUAUCAAUAAUGAAUUUUAGUUAAGACACGAGCAAGAAGUUUUCAGGGCGAUCAAAGCUCGGAGUCAAAUGAGAAAGCAACAAAAUAAAACAGAUCAUGGAGCUGGAGGAGGGAAGGGAGUUGUUACGGAAAACUCACGGUUUUGACAGAAACAGGAAUUGGCUUAAUGUGGUGAAGC
Molecule: non-coding RNA, 387 nt
Organism: Coffea arabica (coffee)
Lineage: Eukaryota; Viridiplantae; Streptophyta; Magnoliopsida; Gentianales; Rubiaceae
Source: RefSeq, a predicted model, not a curated record